This 654-nucleotide long non-coding RNA is filed under the name Homo sapiens (human). RNAcentral's name for it is "HSALNT0372112". The record is from RNAcentral. Lineage: Eukaryota; Metazoa; Chordata; Mammalia; Primates; Hominidae.
CAUAUGCAGCCCGUUCUGUUGCUGGACACAACAGUUGUAAGAAAGGUCUUCUCAAUGGUGCAAAAUCUGGUGCUUCUACUCCUUUGAGCCAAUGCAGAGUACAUCUUCCUCAAGCAGCCCAUCAAAUGACCGCAGGCUCUGAGGACACCCCUGACAAAGCCUCCAAGCCAGAAGAGGGAAGGAAAGCACCAGACACAUCGUCCUGAGAUCUGUGAUUCUGGAGUGUGCGACAGAAGCUUUUGACAAAGAGGUGAAAGCAGUUAGUUAAAACCUGGCCCAACAAGUGGAAGAACAAGUGAUACACUCUAGGAACGGUCACCACAAGGGAUAACCUACACGAGGAACCUCCCUCGAGAGAACCCAGAAGAAGCUCUCACCAGAACACCAGCAGGAGAGCCACAGUUCAGAGGGCAACCACUUCAGACACAUGCCCUCGCUGUAAGUAGGCCUCGGUCUAUAUCUCAGUGGCUGAUGGUGAUAUCAAGUUCAUGCUCAGUUUUUACAAGCUAACAAAAAUAUAUAUAAAAGCUCUCCUCAAAUAAAUGCAUAUUGUACUCUAAAUACACAAAGAUCAUUUCAUUUUUAUUUUAAGCUUUUAUUUUAGGUUCAAGGGUACAUGUGCACAUUUGUUAUAUAGGUCAACUGUGCCACGGG